UGGGGCAAUAGAUGAAAAGAUGAUGAGGUGAAAGAAAGGUGUGAAAGUGUAGGUGGAGGGGGAGAGAGAGGAGAAGAUUAAGAGAGGAAGAGAGAGGCAGAAAAAGGGGGAAGGAGGAAGGCAGAAUACACAGUGAUCAUGUCAAAGGAAAACAAGUGACUGUGAUGUGCAGAACUCCAAAACAAUAGACAGAGGAGGAAGCUGGAAGAACCAGGACAUCAGAGACAAAUACAAUACUAACAACACUGUUAUUGCUGAAAUGUGGGAAGAGAAGACAACUUUCAAAAGGGGUGAGGAGAUCAAGAAAGAAAGGAGAGAGGAAGCGGAAAAGGAUCAGCUUUAUAAAAUCAGAGAUCUUUUGUUGUCAAUUGUCAACAUUUUGAAAUUACUUUCUUUUGGUUUUCAAUUAGUUCCUGAGAAAUGAAAUGAAGCCAUGGUGGAAGAAGAGGACAAAGAAAAGGAGACAGGUAGCCUCUCCAGGAAGUAACCAAUGUUGAACUUUUGAACUUUUCUCACUGUUGAACUUUUCAUUUCUCUAAAAUGUUCCUUCAAAAUAAAAUCUAUCUAUGAAGCACACAUGUAAUUUUCUGAUUUCUGAAAAAAAUCUUGCAAAGAAACCCCUGUGACAAAUUCACCUUUGCUUUGUCAUAAAUCAGAAAUGACUUGAAGACACACGGCAACAACAAUGGUCAAUGUGGGGGUAGGUCUGGCUUAUAGUGUAUUUUAUAGGUAAAAUUUUUGUUUCCUACAUCCUCCCAGCAUGAAAUUUUCAUUUUCACCUUGCUCAGUUCACUAUGCGAAUGAAAAAUAGGUUUUUCUAGAAUUCAUGUAUCUGUUUCCCUCUCCUCCAAGUUUGAACCAGGUGAUGAGUGAAAUCUUGGAUAAGAUUUGUCCCUUUAUUCUGGUAAGCUUUUUAAUGCAAUAACAAUGAAAAUUAGAUUUAGCGUGAGUAUAGUAAACACCCACAUUUCAGAGAAGUGUAAUCACCAUAAAACUGGGUAGGAAUUUUAGAAAGGUUUUAGUGUAAACAUAACUGAGUGACAACUUUUCAGUAAUGUUGCUAUUUAUGGCCUUUAUUACUCCAUAAACACAAGUAUGCCUGGACAGAAAUUACUGACAUAGCAGAAAAAGCUAUAUUUCAAAAACGCUGUGAUGUACAGUUUUUUUCUAUUCAUGAAGUGAUUUCUCACCAACUUGUCACUAUAUACAGUAGAGUCUCACUUAUCCAACACUUGCUUAU
RNAcentral lists this long non-coding RNA (1240 nucleotides) under Anolis carolinensis (green anole). Its description in RNAcentral is "lncRNA (ENSACAG00000029920.2)". Lineage: Eukaryota; Metazoa; Chordata; Lepidosauria; Squamata; Anolidae. The record is from RNAcentral.